RNAcentral lists this ribosomal RNA (513 nucleotides) under uncultured bacterium. RNAcentral describes it as "partial 16S ribosomal RNA". It matches the Rfam family "Bacterial small subunit ribosomal RNA", at positions 28 to 523 of the family's 1533-position model. The record is from RNAcentral.
GAUGAACGCUGGCGGCGUGCCUAAUACAUGCAAGUCGAGCGAACAGAUAAGGAGCUUGCUCCUUUGACGUUAGCGGCGGACGGGUGAGUAACACGUGGAUAACCUACCUAUAAGACUGUGAUAACUUCGGGAAACCGGAGCUAAUACCGGAUAACAUAUUGAACCGCAUGGUUCAAUAGUUAAAGGCGGCUUUGCUGUCACUUAUAGAUGGAUCCGCGCCGUAUUAGCUAGUUGGUAAGGUAACGGCUUACCAAGGCAACGAUACGUAGCCGACCUGAGGGGGUGAUCGGCCACACUGGAACUGAGAAACGGUCCAGACUCCUACGGGAGGCAGCAGUAGGGAAUCUUCCGCAAUGGGCGAAAGCCUGACGGAGCAACGCCGCGUGAGUGAUGAAGGUCUUCGGAUCGUAAAACUCUGUUAUCAGGGGAGAACAAAUGUGUAAGUAACUGUGCACAUCUUGACGGUACCUGAUCAGAAAGCCACGGCUAACUACGUGCCAGCAGCCGCGGUAA